UAGAGCAAAUUAAUUCCCGACACCUUCUGCUCAAUGUAACAAAUAUAAAUUGCCGCAGUAUCCUAACUGUGCCAAGGUAGCAUAAUCACUUGUCUAUUAAUUAUAGAAUAGUAUGAACGAAAAAAUGAGGUGAUAGCUGUGUCAUAAAGUAAAAUAUAAAUUUAUAUAAACGUGAAGAAGCCUUUAUUUCCAUAUAAGACAAGAAGACCCUGUAGAGCUUAAAUUAAUGCAUAUUAAUAUAAAUGCAAAAAUUUUGACUGGGGCGGUCCCUAUAAACAAAUCAAUUAUUUAAUACCUGACAAACAAGUCGACUCAAACACGAUCCAAAAAAAUGAUUACCGACCAAAGUUACCUCAGGGAUAACAGACUAAUUUCCUUUCAAAGUUCAUAUUAAAAAGGAAGAUUAGCACCUCGAUGUUGGCUUAUAAUAAAUUCUGAAGAAAAAGUCAAAACUACAGGUUUGUUCAACCUAUAAUUUAUU
RNAcentral lists this ribosomal RNA (481 nucleotides) under Olavius sp. 'lizard 1'. RNAcentral describes it as "partial 16S ribosomal RNA". It matches the Rfam family "Bacterial large subunit ribosomal RNA", at positions 1833 to 2597 of the family's 2925-position model. Lineage: Eukaryota; Metazoa; Annelida; Clitellata; Tubificida; Naididae. The record is from RNAcentral.